UUAACUAUUAUAUAGUACUCAGACAACACUAUAAUUCAGAGUUUUGGGUCCUCUGGCGGGCACUCACCAGCCGAAGCCGGCAGCCUAGGCGGCCCGCCAAAGCAACAAAAGUAUAAUACUCAAGGGUGGGAGAUCUACCCGUUAGGGCAUGAACUCUGUAAUGAUCCUUCCGCAGGUUCACCUACGGAAA
This 190-nucleotide unclassified non-coding RNA is filed under the name uncultured fungus. RNAcentral describes it as "sequence contains ITS1". The record is from RNAcentral. Lineage: Eukaryota; Fungi.